CUUUCAGUACCAGAAUUGUCCAAAUUAAAGGCUCAAAGGACAGGCUAGACAUUCACUAUAUUAAGACCAUGCAUAUGUCCCCAGACCUAGUUCUUUCCCUGGGUCUGAUUUUAUAAAUGCUGGUGAUAAAC
This is a small nucleolar RNA of Sciurus vulgaris (Eurasian red squirrel), 131 nucleotides long. Its record names the gene SNORA72. It matches the Rfam family "Small nucleolar RNA SNORA72". From Rfam's summary of the family: U72 is a member of the H/ACA class of snoRNAs. The snoRNA gene is located in intron 4 of the ribosomal L30 protein gene in human, mouse and chicken. The record is from Ensembl. Lineage: Eukaryota; Metazoa; Chordata; Mammalia; Rodentia; Sciuridae.